AGUGGCGGACGGGUGAGUAACGCGUGAGAAUCUGCCUUGGGGUCGGGGACAACCACUGGAAACGGUGGCUAAUACCGGAUAAGCCGAUUGGUGAAAGAUUUAUUGCCCGAAGAGGAGCUCGCGUCUGAUUAGCUAGUUGGUGAGGUAAGAGCUCACCAAGGCAGCGAUCAGUAGCUGGUCUGAGAGGACGAUCAGCCACACUGGGACUGAGACACGGCCCAGACUCCUACGGGAGGCAGCAGUGGGGAAUUUUCCGCAAUGGGCGAAAGCCUGACGGAGCAAGACCGCGUGAGGGAGGAGGGCUCUUGGGUUGUAAACCUCUUUUCUCAGGGAAGAAGCUCUGACGGUACCUGAGGAAUCAGCCUCGGCUAACUCCGUGCCAGCAGCCGCGGUAAUACGGAGGAGGCAAGCGUUAUCCGGAAUUAUUGGGCGUAAAGCGUCCGCAGGUGGCGAUUCAAGUCUGCUGUCAAAGCACGGGGCUUAACUCCGUAAAGGCAGUGGAAACUGAAUAGCUAGAGUGCCGUAGGGGUAGAGGGAAUUCCCGGUGUAGCGGUGAAAUGCGUAGAGAUCGGGAAGAACAUCGGUGGCGAAAGCGCUCUACUGGACGGCAACUGACACUCAGGGACGAAAGCUAGGGGAGCGAAUGGGAUUAGAUACCCC
Molecule: ribosomal RNA, 660 nt
Filed under: uncultured bacterium
Lineage: Bacteria
Description: bacterial SSU rRNA
Rfam family: Bacterial small subunit ribosomal RNA
Source: RNAcentral